UGAACAUGCUUGUAAUCUCAGCA
This 23-nucleotide microRNA is filed under the name Rattus norvegicus (Norway rat). RNAcentral's name for it is "rno-miR-6320". Lineage: Eukaryota; Metazoa; Chordata; Mammalia; Rodentia; Muridae. The record is from miRBase by way of RNAcentral.